RNAcentral lists this ribosomal RNA (253 nucleotides) under uncultured bacterium. RNAcentral's name for it is "partial 16S ribosomal RNA". It matches the Rfam family "Bacterial small subunit ribosomal RNA", at positions 524 to 776 of the family's 1533-position model. The record is from RNAcentral.
UACGUAGGGUGCGAGCGUUAAUCGGAAUUACUGGGCGUAAAGCGUGCGUAGGCGGUUCGUUAAGUCAGCUGUGAAAGCCCCGGGCUCAACCUGGGAACUGCGGUUGAAACUGGCGAACUAGAAUCUGGCAGAGGGGGGUGGAAUUCCACGUGUAGCAGUGAAAUGCGUAGAGAUGUGGAGGAACACCGGUGGCGAAGGCGGCCCCCUGGACCGGUACUGACGCUGAGGCGCGAAAGCGUGGGUAGCAAACGGG